RNAcentral lists this ribosomal RNA (384 nucleotides) under uncultured bacterium. Its description in RNAcentral is "bacterial SSU rRNA". It matches the Rfam family "Bacterial small subunit ribosomal RNA", at positions 28 to 405 of the family's 1533-position model. The record is from RNAcentral.
GACGAACGCUGGCGGCGUGCCUAACACAUGCAAGUCGAGCGGGGUCCAUCCAGUGGCAACACUGGGGAAGACCUAGCGGCGAACGGGUGAGUAACACGUGAGGAACUUGCCCCGGAGUACGGGAUAACUCGAGGAAACUCGAGCUAAAUACCGUAUGCCCUCUUCUGGUCGCAUGGCCGGAUGAGGAAAGAUUUAUCGCUCCGGGAGAGCCUCGCGGCCUAUCAGGUUGUUGGUGGGGUAACGCCCACAAGCCAUCGACGGGUAGCUGGUCUGAGAGGACGACCAGCCACACUGGAACUGAGACACGGUCCAGACUCCUACGGAGGCAGCAGUGGGGAAUUUUGGGACAAUGGGCGCAAGCCUGAUCCAGCCAUUCCGCGUGCA